GAUGAAGAACGCAGCGAAAUGAGAUAAGUAAUGUGAAUUGCAGAAUUCAGUGAAUCAUCGAAUCUUUGAACGCACAUUGCGCCCCUUGGUAUUCCGAGGGGCAUGCCUGUUCGAGCGUCAUUUUGACCACUCCCGCUUGCGGGGUCUUGGGCCUUCGCCUCUGGGCGGGCCUUAAAAUCAGUGGCGGUGCCGUCCGGCUCUAAGCGUAGUAAAUCUCCUCGCUAUAGGGUUCCGGAGGGAUGCUGGCCAACAACCCCCAACUUUUAAGGUUGACCUCGGAUCAGGUAGGGAUACCCGCUGAACUUAAGCAUAUCAAUAAGCGGAGGA
This 327-nucleotide unclassified non-coding RNA is filed under the name soil metagenome. RNAcentral's name for it is "partial contains 5.8S ribosomal RNA, internal transcribed spacer 2, and large subunit ribosomal RNA". The stretch from base 1 to 120 matches the Rfam family "5.8S ribosomal RNA", at positions 35 to 154 of the family's 154-position model. The record is from RNAcentral.